UACACUUCAUGAACAGAAGGUAAAGUUGAGUUGCGCAGGACCAUUGCGCAGGACUGUUGCGCAGUCAGUUAAGCACAGUCCACUGGCGAAAGUAGUGGGGCUGCCCAAGAGAAAGAUGGCCGCCACCAGCGAGGAAUCGAGUGUUAUGGAGCCUUCUCAGACGAAUUCCGGGCAAAAUCAGCCCGUUGAUCCUCUAAAAAUGCUCUAUCCGAUGGUAAAUGAAGAGGAAACGCCACUACCACGCUCAUGGAGUCCGAAGGACAAAUACAAUUACAUCGGCCUCUCCCAAAACAAUCUUCGUGUUCACUACAAAGGUUAUGGAAAAACUCAUAAAGAUGCAGCAAGUGUACGUACAACGCAUUGUAUACCAGCUGCUUGUGGUCUCUAUUAUUUCGAAGUGAAGAUCGUCAGUAAAGGCAGAGAUGGUUAUAUGGGAAUUGGUCUAUCUGCUCACGGAGUAAACGUGAACAGGUUGCCAGGCUGGGACAAACAUUCAUACGGAUACCACGGCGACGAUGGACACAGUUUCUGUUCUUCUGGAACUGGUCAACCAUAUGGACCCACGUUCACUACAGGAGAUGUAAUUGGUUGUGGUGUAAAUCUUGUAGAUAACACUGCCUUCUACACGAAAAAUGGACAUCAUCUUGGUAUUGCAUUCACUGAUCUUCCGCCAAAUUUAUAUCCAACGGUGGGCCUUCAAACACCAGGAGAAGUAGUUGAUGCAAACUUCGGACAAGAACCUUUUGUUUUUGACAUUGACGAUAUGCUUAACGAACUCCGUGUCAAAACAAGAUUGCAAAUCAUAAACUACCCUACACCAGAUCACGGACAGGGUCAGUGGCAAGCAGUUCUUCAUAAAAUGGUGUCAACAUAUUUAGUCCAUCACGGUUAUUGUGCUACUGCCGAGGCAUUUGCCAAUAGUACUGGUCAAGGAUUUGAAGAAGAUCUUAAUUCCAUUAAAAAUAGACAAAAAAUUUUGAAAUUGGUAUUGGCAGGCAGAAUGGGGGAAGCAAUAGAAUUAACAAGUCGACUGUAUCCAGGUCUCCUCGAACGAGAUCCAAAUCUUCUUUUUGCUCUUAAGUGUCGACAAUUUGUUGAAAUGGUGAAUGGUAGUGAUUCCGAAAUUACUCAAAAUUCCAAUAUUAAUCAAACUAGUGUUAUACAGUCUACGAAGGCUUAUACGAAAUCCUCAGUGAAUAGCAAUAUUGAGGAAAUGAAUAUGAACAACGCUAUGAAUGGUUCUACCGAACAACAAUUAGUUAAUGGACAAAUUGAAAAUGAUGUAGAUAUGGAAGAAAAUGUCAUAAAUGGCAUGAAAAAUAAUACUGAAAAUGGUUAUCAAAAUAAUGAUUUGAAUACUAAUGGAUACAAAUGUCAAAAUGGAGAAGAUGUCGACAUGGAAACCAACAAUGUUAGUCAAAUUCAACAACAAAAUGGUAAUUGUAAUAUGGAGAAUAUAUCAAAUAAGAAUAACAAGAAACAACUUUGUGGCGGUGAUAAACAGGCAAUUGAAAAGAUGUUGGAAUUUGGAAGACAAUUAUAUUCCCAAUCGAUACAUUUGCGACAACAACACGGAAAAAAUGAAAGCAAUAAAAAGAUGCUUCAAGAUGCAUUCAGCCUUCUAGCUUAUGCAAAUCCAUGGAAUUCACCAGUUGGUUGGCAACUCGAUCCUCAACAAAGGGAAACUGUUUGUGCAAGACUUAAUUCUGCCAUACUCGAAUCGAGUAAUUUACCCCGACGACCACCUUUGGAAGUGGCCGCGUCUCAUGCAAGAGAACUGGUACGAUUGAUGUCUCAUGCUGGUCUUGGGGCAUGCGGUUUCGCGGUCGUAGACAAUAUCAUUCAAUAUUGACGAUGCCUACCCCUGCUGCCACGUCUGCUUCUUCUGCCGGCUCGAGUUUGGAUGUGGAGACGGAACGUGGAGCAGAUUAUAUUUUUGCAGCAACAACUUCGCGAUAUCGCGUGCCUCUUUAGCUAGAGUUUAGCAAUUGGCUCUCUAGCUCAAUCUUACAUUGAUACACAAGAGUAUAAUAUAAUACACAUAUACAAGACCUAUCAAAAGUACUCGAUGUUACAGCAAAGAGAAUGAAAAUAAGAAUGAUUGUUAACUUCAAUGAUUAUUCAAGGAUCAUUGUAUAGACAUAAUUUCAGUUUUCUAGAGCCAAAAUAUGAAAACUGAUAUAUAAUGAAUUGAAGUAUAGAAAAAUCGAUCUUAAAGAUCAUGAAUGAUGAUAGGAAAAGGAUGAUAAAUAAUAAAAAGAGUCAAAGAAUUAGAUGGCGUUGAUAGUUAAGAAACUUAAGAAUAAUAUAAAUACACUUUCGAAGUUGGAAGUGAGAUUUUUUUGACUAUAAGAUGAUUCUGAAGGCAUUGAUAAUUGAAGAUAAAGGAAACUUAGUGAUGAGAAUGCGAAUAAACUUGAGGAGGAUAUCUACACCUGCCAAGACGACCCUUUUCUCGUUUUCUCUUUUUAGCCCUAUAAUUCAUCAUCAUUUUGAUAUUUUUCCUUCGUUCUCAUAAUUGAUCGCCAUCAAGUUUCCGAGUUGUUUUUUGCAAUGGGAUGUGCUUUUGUAUUUUCAUCUAAUUUAUGAUCAUUAGACAAUGAGAAUCUCCAGGUGGGUUUCUAAUCUCAUUCAUUUGAUUUCCUCUAUUUUGACAUUUUAUUUCAAUUUUUUGUCGUUUGAUAUCACAUUUGUUGCUCCUGUACUAUUCAAUUAAAUCUAAUUUUCUAAAAUUUUAGACUAAAUCUUUAUUAUAUCAGUUACGUCACUUAUAAAUGUUUGAUUGAAAUAUUAAUUAAAAAAUUUUAAUUCCAUUUAAUAUUCACAAAUAUUGUAUUUCUAAAUGAAUUUUAUUCUUAAUGCAUUGCCCCAUUGUUCAUUCUAUUAUUUUUAUUAAUAUUUAAUUUUUUUUUUUACGAAAUUUUUAAUAUUGUAUUUCCUUUCGCAUAACUGUUGACGACAGAGUAGCAUUCCUUUUUUAUCAAGAAAGUUUAACGAGAAAAGAGCUUCGUCAACAUAAGUACGAUUAAUUAAUUCUUCAUCGAUUAUCCUGAUAGCCUUUUUAAUCGUAUCAUCAACGAGUCGAUUUUUGUAUCAAUUGUUAGCUUUUAAUGAAAAUAAAAAAAAUAUGUAAAAAAAAAAGGAGAAAAGAAGAAAGAAAACAUAAAAGUCAUACAUAAAAAAUAAUAUACAAAUAAAAAAAGAAUAUUCUUCGAUUAUCUUUUCAUUAUUGUAAAUUAAGAUUAGAAAUGGUAUAAGAAUCACGUUUCCGGUUCGAUGAUCGUUUUAUUUUUAUCUAAUUUUCAUAACAAGAAAGAAACUAAUGCGUGAAGAAGUAAUAAUCCAAAACUUUAAAUCAUUUUCUUUUCUUUUUUUUAUUCGUUUUUUUUCUCUUCUUUAAUUGCCUUAUAAAUAUUUAUUAAUAGUUCCGAAUUGUAAUAACCGAUUAAUGAUCGUUAAGUAUUUUCGUUUCGAUUUUACUCGUCUUAGGUUCGAUUGGAUAAGUAAAAGAAAAGGAGCAAGAAAAAAAUUGUGUAUUAGUGAUAUGUACCAUGUGAUUACAAGAGAUACUUUAUAAAAAAAGAAAAAUAAAAAUAACGAAGAAAAGUAUGUUAAAUUGUCGAGCAAAAUCAAUAAAAAAAAGAAAAUAGAAAUGAAGAAAUAUAUGAUCCUGAAUGAUUGUAAGUAUCGAAAACUAUGGCAGUUAUACAGUGAAAAUUAAUAAAAGUUGUAUAAUUACAUAGAACGUUGUAAAAUAUGCGGUAUUUUAUAUAUUUCUUUUUAACAGUUAAUUUAAUUAAAAUAUUUUGUGUUAAAAUAUUAAAAAAGUAUCAGUAAUUCAAUACUUUAACAAAAAUUAUUUUUGAAUAGAAAAGAAUAAUAUUUCAGCAUUUGAUAGCAUUUUCAAAACAAUUGUUUAAUUGUAUGAAAAUAAAAUUUAAUUUAGAGUCAAUAAGUCAUUUUAAAUUUAAGUUUGCGAAAAAUUGUUGAAAAUUUUUAUACUUAACAUAAUGUUAAAACUUAGAUCUAAAUUAAAAUGGUUGUUCUCUCGAAUGCAUAGGUUGUAUACUUAAAUCGAUUAACACAAUUCAAUAAAGAUGACAUUUUAUAAUAAAAAUUAUAUAGAAUUUCUUAAUUUGUCAUUUCUUAAUUUAAUUUAUAUUUUUCGAUAUUGAAACAAAAUUAAUCAUUUCGUUAAAAUUAGAAUUGCACUAAAAUUUUUUUUAACAUUGCAAAAAGGGAAACAAAAGAUACACAUAAGGACUUUACUUAAAUCGAUAAUAAAUUUUAAUAAUUAUUAAUAAGUGAACGAAAGAAGGAUCUUUGGCUAUGAAAAGAGGGAACGAUUAUAAAAGUUUAUAUAAAAAAGAAUA
Apis florea (little honeybee) is the source of this 4373-nucleotide unclassified non-coding RNA. NCBI's taxonomy places the organism in Eukaryota, Metazoa, Arthropoda, Insecta, Hymenoptera, Apidae. The record is from RefSeq and is a predicted model, not a curated record.